Molecule: ribosomal RNA, 232 nt
Filed under: uncultured bacterium
Lineage: Bacteria
Description: partial 16S ribosomal RNA
Rfam family: Bacterial small subunit ribosomal RNA
Source: RNAcentral
ACGGGUGAGUAACACGUAUCCAACCUGCCGUCUACUCUUGGACAGCCUUCUGAAGGAAGGAUUAAUACAAGAUGGCAUCAUGAGUCCGCAUGUUCACAUGAUUAAAGGUAUUCCGGUAGACGAUGGGGAUGCGUUCCAUUAGAUAGUAGGCGGGGUAACGGCCCACCUAGUCUUCGAUGGAUAGGGGUUCUGAGAGGAAGGUCCCCCACAUUGGAACUGAGACACGGUCCAA